This 2761-nucleotide long non-coding RNA is filed under the name Brassica napus (rape). RNAcentral describes it as "long non-coding RNA (BNAP_LNC002100)". Lineage: Eukaryota; Viridiplantae; Streptophyta; Magnoliopsida; Brassicales; Brassicaceae. The record is from RNAcentral.
UAAACUCAAGCACCUCGACCUCAUCUUCUUAACUUGGAACAGACUAUCCGGUCCAAUUCCUGAAUACAUCAGCGAGCUCAAAAGCGUUACGUUCUUGGACAUCUCCUUUAACAAGUUUACCGGUCCUAUUCCCGGUUGGCUUACUCAGAUGCCGAACCUUCAGACCUUUCAGGCCGACAACAAUUCGCUAACCGGUCCUAUACCGAACUCUUUCGGUUCCUUUGUAGGCAACGUCCCUAAUCUUUUCUUGCCUUACAAUAAGCUCUCAGGUAUACCAAUUUUUUUUUUUCAAUUAUACUAUUUCAUAAUAUAAGUAGUUUAGGAAUUUUUUUUUAUAUUACAAAAUAUAAUUAAGUAGUUUUGAGAUUUGUAUUCACUUUUUACAUUUAUGUGACCAAUUAUGAAAACAUUUUUAUGAUUAGUUAUGAAAAAGUUAAAUAUAUUUAAAAUAGAUUAAAUAUUAUUUUUUGACAAGUAAUAAUUUUCUCAACCAUUGUACUUUCACUAAAACACAGUACAUUUUGAAACAUAUGAGGCGGAGUAUAACUUUAGAUUUAACUAUUUGAUCUAUAGAUACACCAGUUUGAGAUUUCUUAAAAUAUGAAGUAUUUUUAGAGACCGUAUUAUUAAUUAUUUUCAGCAUCAAAUUGUUAUUAUUAUUAUUGAUUACUAAAUCAAAUUCAUUAACAUUGCUCUGGCAGGAAAAAUACCGGAGUCGUUGUCAAAGAUUGACUUUCAAGCAGUAGUUCUGACGGGAAACAGUUUCACAGGAGAUGGUUCAAUGUUUUUCGGAGGGAACAAAAGAACAGUACAAGUGGAUCUAUCGAGAAACAAGUUUGAGUUCGAUCUCUCCAAAGUUAAGUUCGGUAAGAGCAUGGCUUUGUUGGAUCUGAGCCAUAACCGAAUCUUCGGGAAACUUCCUAGGGAGCUGACCGAGCUACAUCUCCAGCGUUUCAACAUUAGUUAUAAUCGUCUCUGCGGAAAAAUCCCACGUGGUGGUAAACUUCAGACCUUUAAAUCAUAUGAGUUCGCUCAUAACCGCUGUCUUUGUGGGUCACCGCUUAAGAAGGCUUGUUAAAUUGAUUUGUUUAGUGGCGUGACAACAAAUAAUUACGUUUUAUCUGUACGAUGAUGGUUGCUCAAAAAAAAACUUGUACGAUGAUGAUGUGUUAAUUAUCACUGCUUAUCAAAUGAAUUGUUCCUUUGAGGAAUUAAUUAAUGCUGUUGUAUCAUUUGUUCUUCUUUUUUAAGAAUAACGUUCCUGUUGCUUUUAUCUGUACGAUGAUGGUUGCUCAAAAAAAACUUGUACGAUGAUGAUGUGUUAAUUGUCACUGCUUAUCAAAUGAAUUGUUCAUUUGAGGAAUUAAUGUUGUUGUACCAUUUGUUCUUCUUUUUUAAGAAUAACGUUCCUGUUGCUUUUGAAAGUGUUGGGUAUAUUAGUGGUUCAUUAGCUGGACUGAAAAUGAUUUUGGCCAUUGUAUCAAAGAUCCUUGAUAAAGAUAAUUUAAUUGUGAGAAGUCUUUUAAAAUUAUUUUUGAUAAAGAUAUUCUAAAAUAUAUGUAGGCUCGUACAAUGUAGAUUCCCGCCAGGUAUGAAACUCACGUUUAUUUCUAUAAUAAUUAGUAGUUGAUUAAAUGGCAGCCUAGGGCUAUAAUCAAGAUCUUAUUCACAUUAGAAUAUUCGUUGAUCACUUUUUAAAUUACUAGAGGAACGACGCACACCCAAGUUGUUCACAUUAUUUAAUAACAUGAUAUAAAAAUUCUUCACAUUCAAAGUAAAAUAUUUAUUGACUUUUGAAAUACGAUGUUUUUAGCUAAUUAACACGAGAUAUGUAAAUACAUUUCACAUCAUGCACAUAAAAAUGAAAAAAAAAAGAUAAUCACAGACACUUUAUACUAAAAUAAUCAUACGAGGGAGGACUUCUAACCUGAUUCCGAACCGACGAUAUAUGUAGUAGACGACUAAGUCUUUGCUCAUUUAUUUAAGUUCAUGUUUUGCAAAAUAAGAGGAGAAGAAUUAGUCUUCCUUGUGUUCAGGAACCAAACAAACAUAGUUAUUGAUUUAUAUUGCCAGCAUAUUGCUUUUAGAACCAUGAAAACUCUGGUAUAUAGUAGCUUCACUGCGUCAAAAUAACCACUCAUAUCACAAUGAAGCUCCUUAUUCGUCUCUUUAUCUUCUUCGCUGCACUCUUCAUCUCUUCUCUCCCAUCAUCUUACAGCUGCAACCCAAAAGACAAAAACACCCUCCUUCAAAUCAAGAAGCAUUUUAACAACCCGAAACUCCUCUCCUCCUGGGAUCCUCAAACCGACUGUUGUACUAGCUGGACCGGCAUUGAGUGCACUAACGGCCGCGUCACAUUAUUCUCUAUGGCCAGCGACGACAGUGUCGUCGGUCAGAUCCCGGACCAGAUCGGCGACCUCCCUGAACUCCGUACACUCGAAAUGAGUUCCAUAAAUCUAACCGGAAACAUACCACGCACCAUCACCAAACUCAAGCACCUCGUCCUCAUCUUCUUAAGCUGGAACAAACUAUCCGGUCCAAUUCCUGAUUACAUCAGCGAGCUCAAAAGCGUUACGUUCUUGGACAUCUCCUUUAACAAGUUUACCGGUCCUAUUCCCGGUUGGCUUACUCAGAUGCCGAACCUUCAGACCUUUCAGGCCGACAACAAUUCGCUAACCGGUCCUAUACCGAACUCUUUCGGUUCCUUUGUAGGCAACGUCCCUAAUCUUUUCUUGCCUUACAAUAAGCUCUCAGGUAUACC